AUCCCCACCCCAGUCAAUGGAACAGCAAUGAAAUGGUUCAGCAGAGAAGAAAAGGAAGCAGAAGAUGGUUGGAGCAACUUGGAAGAAACUUGCUUGCUGGCUGCACGGCAGAUUUAUGUGGCUGCCCAAUUUGCAAUAGCAACGCUGAGCAACUUACAGUUUGAAGCAAGAAAUGAAUGAUACAACGCAAUGCAACGAAAUCUAAAAGACAUAAAAAGAAGAGGGCAGCAGAAUAAGAGACGCAACAAUAAAUAACACAAGCAAUUGAAGCCAAUCAACACGUUUCUUGGGAGCCAUGGCCCAGCGGUUAAGACACUGGGAUCGUUGACUGGAUGGUUCAAGACCCUGGCACCAUGUGAUGGGCUGAGCUUCCAUUCCUGCCCCAGUUCCUGCAGUUUGAAAGUAUGCAAAUCAGUUUCUUGCUACUGGUACAGGCCAAAUAACUAUUAAGAGCCGGAUGCCAGCAGUUCGAUUCUCAUCAACUCAAGGUUGACUCAGCCUUCUAGCCUUCCGAGUUUAUCAGAUACCCUUACCAGCUGCUGGUACCAAAACUGGUGGAUACAAUAAGAAACACAAAGAAAAUCCAGAAAUGUAAACAUCAGAAAACCUGAUCAACUAAGGCGCCGAGGGAGUUUCCUUUGUUAUUGGAUGAGCUGCAGAAGGUGUGCUUGCUAAGGAACAGAAUGGGAAUGUCAAACUUGGAAGCCAUGGCAUGAAAGGGACACUCUUUUGUCUCCCGUUGAAGAGUAUUUUGGGGCAUGAAAAGUAUACAGAUGUGUGUGUGAGAGAGUGUACUUGCACACAUAUGAACCUAGUUCGAGCCACAUUUGUUAAGGAAAGAUCAGCAGGAGGCCAUUGAUUCUCCAAGCAAGCAUGAACAUUUCCACUGAAGAUCCCUCACCCUACUCUGAGUUAAGAAUGGUCUAAGGGACUCACGGCUGAGCACAGACUUAAACUGGAAGCCUUUUUGGAUCAUUGCUCGUUUUUCUCAACUGUGAAUUGUCCAGCUUUCUCUGCAUUUUCCAGAUUAUACUGUCCUGGUCAUCUGGAGACUCUUCUUCUCGCCACAGUUCAAGAUGGUGUUCAAGACACUGCCUCCUAUAAUUCUUUUCCCACAACAAUUCUCUGAGCCCAAGACAGCGAACAUAUCUUCCUCCUAUUUUCCCCCACAACAUCCCUGUGAGGCAAAUUGGGCUGAGAAGAGGGGACUGGCCCAAGGUCAGCCAGCUGGCUUUCAUGGCUAAGGAACCGAGGCACCGCUUUGAAGAUUUGUGCAGCCCUAAUCACAGCUGCAGCGGAGGAAAGAUCUUGAAUCUCUUGGCUGCCUUAGAAAAAGCUUCUUCUUUCAGCUUUAUAACCGAGAGCUGCCAAGUGCCGUUGGGAUUCUUGCUUGGGAAGGAAAACCUUGGGCCACUGUCCUUGUGCCUUUGCAUCAACAUCAAGAGAUAUAAGUGACCACAGCUUAACCUUCACUGGCCUGGAGUGCCCUCUACUGCCCUUUGUUGACCAAGUGACUUUGUAAUCUAUGUCCUCCUCUGAAAGGAACGGAGAAAACUCAACAAAAGGUGGUGAAUAAAAAACAACAACACCCUUUGGCUUGUUCUUUUGAGAUGGUCUACGAUGUGCAAAAUGCAUAAUAAAGCACCGAAACUGAACAGGUUUUAUACAGAAAGAAACCUUCAGCAUUGACAAGUAAGAAAGAAAGAAAUUCAUUUAAUAAAGGCCCAACAGGAAAGAAAAACGGAUCGGUGCCCCAGCAAGAUAAAACACAUCUGAAUUUUCCUACCGUGGUUUACAGUGCAGGACACUCCCUAUGACCCAUUUCAAUGCACUACAAGAAACACCCAUGUGCACAGCCGAAGACAGGGUAUAUUUUGGGGAAGAGAGGAGGAGGAGGAGGAAGAGAAGGAAGGAAGGAAGAAGGGAAGAAGAGAGGGAGGGAGGGAAGGAGGGAGGGAGGGGGAAGGAAGGGAAGAAGGAAGGAAACAGAUGCUCAAGCUUCUCUUUUGUUAGUAGCAAUAGUAAUAACUUCUUAGCUUCUUGGAUGAUAUCAAGGGAGAUUUCUGCAAACAUAUUGGUGCUUUGGGGCAAGAUGAUUAAGAGACAAAGAAACCAUCUUAAGAUAUAUUGGAAUAUACCUCUUUUGACAGCUUGCCAAUGUAUCUGGCUGCAUUUGGACAAUGCAGAUGGGUAGCCAUAUUGAACAACCAAUCAGGUUGGCUCGGGGGAUCCAGAAGACACAGAAUUAGAAUUAUGCACUUAGGAAGGAAUCUCCAAAUGUAAUUCAAAUAUUGCACUAGAGUAAGACAUGGGAAUCUGUGUGGUUCUCAGGGUGUUGCCGGUCUACAGAUUUCAUGAUCUCUUAUAUUCCUGUAAGCAAUUCUGGGUGAGAACAGUAGAAGCUAGAAUCCAUUAAUGUCUGAAAGGGCAGCAGGUUCUCUUUGGUAGAUGAAAAUGAAGCACACCCUGAGGUUAUGCAAGAAACUUUCCUUCUUCUUGGAAAUUCCAUGAAAUUUCACAAAUAUUUUUCCCCUGAUGGAAGAUCUACCCUUGGUUCUUUUCAGAUUGUCUUAGAAAUAUGCUGAGUAACUUCCUUCCCAAACUGUGUAAUAAUAUUCUUGUUUAUAAGCCAAAUUGAUUUGGAUAUAAGCCAGGUCCCCACUCAGGAGCUUGUAAGCCUCCUCUGCCUAGCUAUAGUCUAUCAAUCCAUUUACAAGACCUCCCCAUCCUCCUCCUCCUCCUCCUCCAUAAAUUUAUAAAUUUAUAGAGGGACAAGGAAUUAGAAAAGGUGAAUCUAAUGACAUUCUUCACUAGCCAAUGGCUAAUUUUAUAUUGCUAUUAUUGUUCUUGUUAUGGGUUACUCUGAAUCAGUUUGUGAAAGGACAAGGGAAAAACAAAAGCAAACAAAAACUCCAAAGCAGCAGAACGUUGGUUCAAGAUAAGCAAAAUAUGCAUGCAGUUGUGCCAUUAAAAGAUACAUUGCCAGACAAUCAAAUUCUCCUUAAUUUGGUUGUUGGCAUCUUUGUUCAACUUCUGUCAAAAAGAGUCAAACAGAGCAUUAAUUUUUGAAGCAAAACCUCUCUGAUUAUUUCACUUGUGAUUUAAUUCAGAGCUAACCUCGGGGCACUGAAAGGUCAUAUGUGAAUCAGGUUAGUCCCCUAACCACCAUGCCCAUUUUUUUAAAGUCAUGUUUCAUGAUGCUUUCCCCUAUUCUGCUGCAUUUCUUUUCCAUUUUUUCUGCUAUCGCUGUGAUUUCCCUGCAAAACGUUACCCGAGGUUUGAAAAGAUGCUUUAAAAGAAGGAACAUCAAUGCAGGGAAAAAUAAUAUUUCCCUGGGGGGGGGGAAACCUGUUUUAAGGCACUGGUUAGAAAGCCUUUCUUUGACUCAGCUUGGAGUGGGAGAUUUGAAUUUCUUUGUAAGCCUUGAGUUAGGAAAAUAAAAUUAAAAUCUAAAGCAGGGUAAAACGAGGUACAAAAGACCUUUCAAACUUUACCACCAAACUUGUAGGCAGAGAAAUUUGGUGGCUGUUUUCUCCAGUUUUCUACAGAGGAAGUUCACCAGCUCUUUCCCAAUGGAUGGGUUGUAACUUCUACCAGAAGUCAGUGAAAAAAAGUUCAAAAACUUUAGCCCUGGCUCUACUCUCUAUGGAGAUUCUCAAUUAUCCAGGUCCCAGUUGUCGCAAAGGUGCUUUUUUCCCCAAAAGGCAACCUUUGAAAACAUUUCGCUGAAUCCAUUCCAGAACUGAAGAAACUUUGUGGAUGAGAAGUGGAAUGUUUUCAAAGAAAAAGAACCAAGAAAGUCCAGCUGCCUUUUGGAAAAAGCACCUUUAGGACAACCCUGGCUCUACUAUGGCUGAAUGAAGUGUGGAAACCAUGAAGGAAGCAGACCAUGUGUGAGAAGACUCUGUAGUAGAAAUCAGAAUAUUUCUAAGGUUUUAUUGGCUGCUUCAUAGCCAGAUAAAUUCACCUUUCCCAAACAUGAAAUAGGAAUACCACUAGAAAAAGUUGAAAGGAUCACACACCUCAGUUCCAAUUUACACAAAAGCUGGGACAUGACUGUUGAAGUAAAGACAAGGAUAGAAAAAGCCCGAACAGCAUUCUUCAAAAUG
Long non-coding RNA from Crotalus tigris (Tiger rattlesnake), 4109 nucleotides. RefSeq lists it as uncharacterized. The transcript has 14 exons. The record is from RefSeq and is a predicted model, not a curated record. NCBI's taxonomy places the organism in Eukaryota, Metazoa, Chordata, Lepidosauria, Squamata, Viperidae.